CCCUCUUAUUAAGGUGUGUUUUUGGUUUCCUGUCUUUGAACACAAAAGAAUUGGAGAAAAAGAAGUGUGGAUUUGGAGAAGUCUGGGGCCAUCUUGCUCUUUCACACUCAGGAUCAGCCAUCCCACAAAG
This is a small nucleolar RNA of Sciurus vulgaris (Eurasian red squirrel), 130 nucleotides long. Ensembl annotates it as small nucleolar RNA, H/ACA box 38B. Lineage: Eukaryota; Metazoa; Chordata; Mammalia; Rodentia; Sciuridae. The record is from Ensembl.